UGAGAUUUGAUGAAAAAAAAAGGUAAAUCUCGGGUCACCAGUAAGCCCAUAUGUGGCCAACUCGGAAAUGUCAUUGCUUCCAUUUUGGGUUGAGUUGUGGAUUGAUAAUGAAAACAGGUAAUGUGUCUCAAGCAUAUAUUGGUCUUGGCUUUUUCACAAUCUGGUUCUACUGUUUUGUUGUGCCUGGUUGAAGAAUUUUGAUACACUUGAGCUUUUAUUGCUUAGUGACCACCACUGUCUAAGCCCAAGGCAUGCCGGUUAAAAGUACUUAGCAUAGAGGAUUACUGUAUAGUAGACUACUGGCAUUCUCUAUCGCAUUUAGUGUUCGCAGCAUGACGAGCCAAAUGGUAGAGCCGUAAUGUAUAGAUGUCUUGUCGUAUGGGCUCAAGUUUCCAAUAAACGCGUAGAACUCGAAACAGUUUCUUCCAUUUCUGUUGCGGACAGAAUAGUUGGACAGCCUAUAUCCAGGAGUUUCGGAGUUCCAUUAGUAUUGAUCUGGUUAGGAGUGGUUAGGAGAAGUUCGAAAUGGAGUUCGGAGUGUACCAUGUAAGAUGUAGCCAUAAUUAGCAGCAUUGGUGGAGCCAAACAGAGGCUCAGGGGGAUACGGCUUUCUCCCAAAGUUUAAUUUUUUUUUCAAUUUAGUCCUUUGUACAUAUAUUAUGGCCCUCCGAAAAGUAUGAGUAUG
RNAcentral lists this long non-coding RNA (685 nucleotides) under Gossypium barbadense (sea-island cotton). Its description in RNAcentral is "long non-coding RNA (GBAR_LNC018156)". Lineage: Eukaryota; Viridiplantae; Streptophyta; Magnoliopsida; Malvales; Malvaceae. The record is from RNAcentral.